This 698-nucleotide long non-coding RNA is filed under the name Canis lupus familiaris (dog). RNAcentral's name for it is "lncRNA (ENSCAFG00000046063.2)". The record is from RNAcentral. Lineage: Eukaryota; Metazoa; Chordata; Mammalia; Carnivora; Canidae.
CUUCUCUGUCUGGCUCUAAUUGUGGAGACAAAAAACCCACAUGACUUUUACUCAAUGGACCUCAAUCUAGAGAAGCACUAUGACAUUUGCAAAUUAUUUCUUAAUCGGACUAAGCUACCGAGGAGUGCAGGGAGAGGAGGUAGUGUUCUGGAAAUGGAGGAACAGCUCGGAUGUUAGCUGGCAUAGUCUUCCCAGCAGUUUGCUUUCCCCCAAAAGGCGCACUGGUGUAACUGUCAAACGCAAAAUAAAGCAGAAAAAGCUGAAAGUUGCCGCUAGGAGCACUGGCUCACAGAAACAAUGAGGUCCUUGAACUCUCAGACCUAACAAAACCAUCAUUUACAAUAAGCAAGGACAAUUUGCAGUGGUUAAAGGCAUACAGCCCUUUGGAUUAAAUUGUUAUUCAGUUGUGCACACUAGCACAUGCAUGUGUGGGUGUGCAUGUCCGCAGACACACCUGAAAGCCAACGUGGCUGAAGACUAUUACAACAGUGCACAGCUUUGCAAGACUCCAGUGUUGUAGUAAAUUUUGAAGUCAAUACUUAUUAGCAAGAAAGGAAACACAGUCCGAAAAGGUAAGGAAAUCUUUUGAGGAUGUGAAUACCUUCCUUAAGUUUCAAUUCUAUUCACCGUACAGGUCCCAGAUUCUGCACAUUUCCAGGCAGAAUUUCUGUGUUUCUGAUAGAAUGCCUAAAAAUGAA